AACCAAAGUGUUGAGUUCAGUUCGGGGUGUUGCCCCUGUUCUGGUAAUUAAGCUUUGGGACAGUGAGUGACUGAGAAGUACACCAUGGUGACUGAAAGUUUGUUUUAUGCCACCUGUGUUUCUCAGCCUACAAAC
RNAcentral lists this small nucleolar RNA (135 nucleotides) under Gavia stellata (red-throated loon). Lineage: Eukaryota; Metazoa; Chordata; Aves; Gaviiformes; Gaviidae. The record is from RNAcentral.